AUGAUAGUGAAAAUAUAUCAUCAAAUGGGAGAUAUUGUCAAACUUCCUCCUGGGUUUGUUUUCUCUCCAACAGAUGAAGAACUUAUCCUUCACUUUCUAUAUUCUAAGGCUUCUGAUCUUAUACCAUCCCACUCAAAUUUCAUCCCUUAUCUUGAUCUCUCUCUACUUCUUCCUUGGGAAUUAAAUGGUAUGGCUAUGUGUGGGUGGAAAUGA
Molecule: non-coding RNA, 213 nt
Organism: Vicia faba (fava bean)
Lineage: Eukaryota; Viridiplantae; Streptophyta; Magnoliopsida; Fabales; Fabaceae
Source: the annotation of a GenBank genome assembly